Molecule: transfer RNA, 62 nt
Filed under: Tenomerga trabecula
Lineage: Eukaryota; Metazoa; Arthropoda; Insecta; Coleoptera; Cupedidae
Description: tRNA-Ser
Source: RNAcentral
AGUUAAUGAACUUGUUAAGUAUUUGUUUUGAAAGCAAAAAAAAAGGAUCUCCUUAUUAACUU